GACGAACGCUGGCGGCGUGCUUAACACAUGCAAGUCGAACGGAACGGCCCUGCUUUUGUGGGGUGCUCGAGUGGCGAACGGGUGAGUAACACGUGAGUAACCUGCCCUUGACUUUGGGAUAACUUCCGGAAACUAGGGCUAAUACCGAAUAGGAACUCCUGCUGCAUGGUGGGGGUUGGAAAGUUUCGGCGGGUGGGGAUGGACGCGCGGCUUAUCAGCUUGUUGGUGGGGUAGUGGCUUACCAAGGCUUUGACGGGUAGCCGGCCUGGGAGGGUGACCGGGCACAUUGGUACUGAGAUACGCAGCAGACGCCUAUGGGAGGCAGUAGUGGGGAAUAUUGCACAAUGGGCGGAAGUCUGAUGCAGCGGCGCCGCGGGUGUGAAGACGGCCUGCUGGGUGUAAACCGCUUUCGCCUGUGACGAAGCGGGAGUGACGGUAAUGGGUAAAGAAGCACCGGCUAACUACGUG
This 468-nucleotide ribosomal RNA is filed under the name uncultured bacterium. Its description in RNAcentral is "partial 16S ribosomal RNA". It matches the Rfam family "Bacterial small subunit ribosomal RNA", at positions 28 to 507 of the family's 1533-position model. The record is from RNAcentral.